GGCGUCAUAGCUCAGCUGGGAGAGCAACAGACUGAAGUCACGGGAAUUCUAUAUAUUGCUACAUCUGGAGGUCCCGUGUUCAAUCCACGGUGAUGCCA
Non-coding RNA from Mycena maculata, 98 nucleotides. The record is from the annotation of a GenBank genome assembly. NCBI's taxonomy places the organism in Eukaryota, Fungi, Basidiomycota, Agaricomycetes, Agaricales, Mycenaceae.